This 2462-nucleotide ribosomal RNA is filed under the name human gut metagenome. Its description in RNAcentral is "bacterial LSU rRNA". It matches the Rfam family "Bacterial large subunit ribosomal RNA", at positions 14 to 2494 of the family's 2925-position model. The record is from RNAcentral.
AGAGCGUAUGGCGGAUGCCUAGGCACAGAGAGGCGAAGAAGGACGCAGCAAACAGCGAAAUGCGACGGGGAGCAGUAAGCAUGCAACGAUCCGUCGAUGUCCGAAUGGGGGAACCCAUCCGGGAUAGAGCCCGGAUAUCCUGCAGUGAACAGAUAGCUGCAGAGAGGCGAGACUCAGGGAACUGAAACAUCUAAGUACCUGAAGGAAGAGAAAAUAAACGAAUGAUUCCCUAAGUAGCGGCGAGCGAAAGGGGAAGAGCCCAAACCGAUCUUAGGAUCGGGGUUGUAGGACUGUCGGCAAAGAGCAAGAAAUCAUUAUAGGCGAACGGAAUGGGAAGUCCGGCGAAACAGGGUGACAGCCCCGUAGCCGAAAUAGUGAAGAAGCACGAGACAGCACCUGAGUACGGCGGGACACGAGGAAUCCUGUCGGAAUCCACCAGGACCAUCUGGUAAGGCUAAAUACUCCUCUGUGACCGAUAGUGAACCAGUACCGUGAGGGAAAGGUGAAAAGAACCCCGGGAGGGGAGUGAAAGAGAACCUGAAACCAUAUGCCUACAAGAAGUCAGAGCCCGUUAAAGGGUGAUGGCGUGCCUUUUGUAGAAUGAACCGGCGAGUUACUGUAUGGAGCGAGGUUAAGCAGGAUAUGCGGAGCCGAAGCGAAAGCGAGUCUUAAGAGGGCGAAAGUUGCAUGCAGUAGACCCGAAACCGGGUGAUCUAGCCAUGACCAGGUUGAAGUUGGGGUAAAACCCGAUGGAGGACCGAACCGACCCCCGUUGAAACGUUGGCGGAUGAGUUGUGGCUAGGGGUGAAAUUCCAAUCGAACCCGGAGAUAGCUGGUUCUCCCCGAAAUAGCUUUAGGGCUAGCGUCGAGGUAAAGAGUUGCGUGAAGGUAGAGCACUGAAUAUGUGAUGGCCCCAUCUCGGGGUACUGAGCAUAAUCAAACUGCGAAUGUCACGGAAACAUACUCGGCAGUCAGACAGCGGGUGAUAAGGUCCGUUGUCAAGAGGGAAACAGCCCAGACCAUCAGCUAAGGUCCCAAAAUGUAUGCUAAGUGGAAAAGGAUGUGGAGAUGUACAGACAACUAGGAGGUUGGCUCAGAAGCAGCCAUCCUUUAAAGAGUGCGUAACAGCUCACUAGUCGAAUGACUCUGCGCCGAUAAUUUACCGGGGCUAAGCAUACUACCGAAGCUAUGGAUCCUGAGGGAUGGUAGGGGAGCGUUCCAUGAACGGAGAAGCGCGAUCGAGAGGACGCGUGGAGAUCAUGGAAGAGAGAAUGCCGGUGUGAGUAGCGGAACGUGGGUGAGAAUCCCACGCACCGAAAACCCAAGGUUUCCAGAGGAAGGUUCGUCCGCUCUGGGUAAGUCGGGACCUAAGGCGAGGCCGAGAGGCGUAGUCGAUGGACAACAGGUAGAGAUUCCUGUACUCAUAUAUAUGUGAAGGAAUGACGGAGAGAGGAAGCUGCAGCCAGCGGCUGGAAGAGCUGGUGCAAGCGAGAUAUCGGGAUGGCAGGCAAAUCCACCAUCCGAAACGAGAAGGCGUGAAGCGUACGGAAAGCUAAGGCGAGUACGGAAGGCAGUGGAGGAGCUUCCAAGAAAAGUUUCUAACGAAAGUAUAUGUGACCCGUACCGAAAAUGGACACACAUGGGUGAGGAGAGAAUCCUAAGGUGAGCGAGAGAACUAUAGCUAAGGAACUCUGCAAAAUGACUCCGUAACUUAGGGAGAAGGAGUGCUCAUAGAGAUAUGAGCCGCAGUGAAACGGCCCAAGCGACUGUUUACCAAAAACACAGCUCUAUGCUAAGUCGAAAGACGAAGUAUAUGGGGUGACGCCUGCCCGGUGCUGGAAGGUUAAGAGGAUGUGUCAGCGCAAGCGAAGCACUGAAUUGAAGCCCCAGUAAACGGCGGCCGUAACUAUAACGGUCCUAAGGUAGCGAAAUUCCUUGUCAGGUAAGUUCUGACCCGCACGAAAGGCGUAACGAUUUGGGCGCUGUCUCAGCUGUAGACUCGGUGAAGUCUUAGUACCUGUGAAGAUGCAGGUUACCCGCGACUAGACGGAAAGACCCCAUGGAGCUUCACUGCAGGUUGAUAUUGGGAUUUGAUGCAGCAUGUACAGGAUAGGUAGGAGGCAAAGAGAUGGAUACGCCAGUAUUCAAGGAGCCGCUGUUGGGAUACUACCCCUGUUGUAUUGGAUUUCUAACCGGACGACGUAAAGCCGUUGACGGGACAGUGUCAGUCGGGCAGUUUGACUGGGGCGGUCGCCUCCCAAAGAGUAACGGAGGCGCCCAAAGAUACCCUCAGCUUGGAUGGAAACCAAGCGCAGAGUGCAAAGGCAAAAGGGUGUUUGACUGCGAGACCCACAAGUCGAGCAGGGACGAAAGUCGGGCUUAGUGAUCCGGCGGUGCUGAAUGGAAAGGCCGUCGCUCAACGGAUAAAAGCUACCCUGGGGAUAACAGGCUGAUCUCCCCCA